GAGUUUGAUCAUGGCUCAGAUUGAACGCUGGCGGCAGGCCUAACACAUGCAAGUCGAGCGGUAGAGAGAAGCUUGCUUCUCUUGAGAGCGGCGGACGGGUGAGUAAUGCCUAGGAAUCUGCCUGGUAGUGGGGGAUAACGCUCGGAAACGGACGCUAAUACCGCAUACGUCCUACGGGAGAAAGCAGGGGACCUUCGGGCCUUGCGCUAUCAGAUGAGCCUAGGUCGGAUUAGCUAGUUGGUGAGGUAAUGGCUCACCAAGGCGACGAUCCGUAACUGGUCUGAGAGGAUGAUCAGUCACACUGGAACUGAGACACGGUCCAGACUCCUACGGGAGGCAGCAGUGGGGAAUAUUGGACAAUGGGCGAAAGCCUGAUCCAGCCAUGCCGCGUGUGUGAAGAAGGUCUUCGGAUUGUAAAGCACUUUAAGUUGGAGGAAGGGCAGUAAUUAAUACUUUGCUGUUUUGACGUUACCGACAGAAUAAGCACCGGCUAACUCUGUGCCAG
Molecule: ribosomal RNA, 505 nt
Filed under: uncultured bacterium
Lineage: Bacteria
Description: bacterial SSU rRNA
Rfam family: Bacterial small subunit ribosomal RNA
Source: RNAcentral